AGAGUUUGAUCCUGGCUCAGAGCGAACGCUGGCGGCAUGCUUAACACAUGCAAGUCGCGCGGGAGGGGCAACCCUUCAGCGGCGGACGGGUGAGUAACGCGUGGGAAUCUGUCUCCGGGUGGGGGAUAACGAUGGGAACUAUCGCUAAUACCGCAUGACGCCUGAGGGCCAAAGCAGCAAUGCGCCUGGAGAGGAGCCCG
Molecule: ribosomal RNA, 200 nt
Filed under: uncultured bacterium
Lineage: Bacteria
Description: partial 16S ribosomal RNA
Rfam family: Bacterial small subunit ribosomal RNA
Source: RNAcentral